UCAACUCGAGACGGGCGGGUAGAGGCCCGCCGCGGUAACGACGGGUAACGGGAAGUCAGGGUUCGAUCCGGAGAGGAGCCCGAGAAAACGGCUACCACUUCCAAGGAAAGGCAGCAGGCGCGCAACUUACCCUAAUCUCGAUUCGAGGAGGUAGUGACAAGAAAAUACCGAUGCGGGACCCUACGGGUGCCGCGUUCGGAAUGAGUACGAUUCGAACCACCUAACGAGGAACGAUCGGAGGGCAAGUCUGGUGCCAGCAGCCGCGGUAAUUCCAGCUCCAAUAGCGUACGUUAAAGUUGCUGCAGUUAAAAAGCUCGUAGUUGAACGUUCGGGUUCCGCGGGACGGGGCCGCCCCGCGAGGGACGGCGCCGCCCCGGGGGCUCGUGAUAUCUUAUCUCGCCGCCCGUCGCGAGGCGGACGGAGGGAUGGAUGAGGUUACCUGGAAAAAAUCGGGGCGAUCUAGGCGGGCGAACCUCGCCAACGAACGAUCGGACAUGGGAUAACGG
RNAcentral lists this ribosomal RNA (506 nucleotides) under uncultured eukaryote. Its description in RNAcentral is "bacterial SSU rRNA". It matches the Rfam family "Eukaryotic small subunit ribosomal RNA", at positions 315 to 820 of the family's 1831-position model. The record is from RNAcentral.